RNAcentral lists this ribosomal RNA (654 nucleotides) under Escherichia coli. RNAcentral describes it as "partial 23S ribosomal RNA". It matches the Rfam family "Bacterial large subunit ribosomal RNA", at positions 2202 to 2850 of the family's 2925-position model. The record is from RNAcentral. Lineage: Bacteria; Pseudomonadati; Pseudomonadota; Gammaproteobacteria; Enterobacterales; Enterobacteriaceae.
ACCCUUUAAUGUUUGAUGUUCUAACGUUGGCCCGUUAUCCGGGUUGCGGACAGUGUCUGGUGGGUAGUUUGACUGGGGCGGUCUCCUCCUAAAGAGUAACGGAGGAGCACGAAGGUUGGCUAAUCCUGGUCGGACAUCAGGAGGUUAGUGCAAUGGCAUAAGCCAGCUUGACUGCGAGCGUGACGGCGCGAGCAGGUGCGAAAGCAGGUCAUAGUGAUCCGGUGGUUCUGAAUGGAAGGGCCAUCGCUCAACGGAUAAAAGGUACUCCGGGGAUAACAGGCUGAUACCGCCCAAGAGUUCAUAUCGACGGCGGUGUUUGGCACCUCGAUGUCGGCUCAUCACAUCCUGGGGCUGAAGUAGGUCCCAAGGGUAUGGCUGUUCGCCAUUUAAAGUGGUACGCGAGCUGGGUUUAGAACGUCGUGAGACAGUUCGGUCCCUAUCUGCCGUGGGCGCUGGAGAACUGAGGGGGGCUGCUCCUAGUACGAGAGGACCGGAGUGGACGCAUCACUGGUGUUCGGGUUGUCAUGCCAAUGGCACUGCCCGGUAGCUAAAUGCGGAAGAGAUAAGUGCUGAAAGCAUCUAAGCACGAAACUUGCCCCGAGAUGAGUUCUCCCUGACUCCCUGAGAGUCCUGAAGGAACGUUGAAGACGACGA